GUGGGGAAUCUUAGACAAUGGGGGAAACCCUGAUCUAGCCAUGCCGCGUGAGCGAUGAAGGCCUUAGGGUUGUAAAGCUCUUUCAGCUGGGAAGAUAAUGACGGUACCAGCAGAAGAAGCCCCGGCUAACUCCGUGCCAGCAGCCGCGGUAAUACGGAGGGGGCUAGCGUUGUUCGGAAUUACUGGGCGUAAAGCGCGCGUAGGCGGACCAGAAAGUUGGAGGUGAAAUCCCAGGGCUCAACCUUGGAACUGCCUUCAAAACUCCUGGUCUGGAGUUCGUGAGAGGUGAGUGGAAUUCCGAGUGUAGAGGUGAAAUUCGUAGAUAUUCGGAGGAACACCAGUGGCGAAGGCGGCUCACUGGCUCGAUACUGACGCUGAGGUGCGAAAGCGUGGGGAGCAAACAGGAUUAGAUACCCUUGUAGUCC
This 425-nucleotide ribosomal RNA is filed under the name uncultured bacterium. Its description in RNAcentral is "partial 16S ribosomal RNA". It matches the Rfam family "Bacterial small subunit ribosomal RNA", at positions 354 to 796 of the family's 1533-position model. The record is from RNAcentral.